This 120-nucleotide small nucleolar RNA is filed under the name Echinops telfairi (small Madagascar hedgehog). Its description in RNAcentral is "Small nucleolar RNA SNORA61 (ENSETEG00000025918.1)". Lineage: Eukaryota; Metazoa; Chordata; Mammalia; Afrosoricida; Tenrecidae. The record is from RNAcentral.
CCCUUCCAGAGUCUUCACCCAUCAGAUCUAAACAUUUGUCUGAAUGGCAUCAAAGGAGGUAAUGUAAAACGGAAAUGAACUUGGAUUCUUUUGUAACAUAUAAGUUGGUUUCAUAAAAAG